RNAcentral lists this microRNA precursor (62 nucleotides) under Heliconius melpomene (postman butterfly). RNAcentral describes it as "Hme-Mir-2763-v1_pre stem-loop". It matches the Rfam family "mir-2763 microRNA precursor family", at positions 12 to 73 of the family's 83-position model. The record is from RNAcentral. Lineage: Eukaryota; Metazoa; Arthropoda; Insecta; Lepidoptera; Nymphalidae.
CCAAAGUAGUGAACGUAAUUUAUCGUGAGCUAUCUAUAGAUAUUAUGCUCAUUACUUUGGAG